CCCCUUUCCGCCCCGCCUCCCUCCUAGGUGAAGGAAGAUGAUUUCCCCCCCAUCUUGAUCACCCCCCAGUCUUCGCCGCCAAAAACGGACUCCGCCGGCUCUCCUCGGCCCGGUGCCAGUUGUUGGAUCCAAGAGAAUUCCGGAACCCAAACGGCUCGCUCAAAGCACUUUAUUGGCAGUGAAACCGCAAGUAACCCGGAGCCCUCGGCGCGACCACGGCUAGAAUCAGAGCCUAAGGCGUGUGAGCUCGGCCAUCCCACGUCUGUCUUCACGCUCACCCGCAAGUCCGACACACCGGGGCGCCCAGUUAAUGAAUACUGAAGAGUAGGGCUGUCCCUACCGCUUCUCACUUCCUUGUUUUCAUCUUUUCGUUAUUAUUAAGCGACCUAAC
RNAcentral lists this long non-coding RNA (391 nucleotides) under Pan troglodytes (chimpanzee). RNAcentral describes it as "long non-coding RNA NONPTRT003697". Lineage: Eukaryota; Metazoa; Chordata; Mammalia; Primates; Hominidae. The record is from RNAcentral.